UGGGGAAUUUUCCGCAAUGGGCGAAAGCCUGACGGAGCAAUACCGCGUGGGGGAUGACGGCCUAUGGGUUGUAAACCUCUUUUUUCAGGGAGGAAUCAAUGACGUGUACCUGAAGAAUAAGCAUCGACUAACUCCGUGCCAGCAGCCGCGGUAAGACGGAGGAUGCAAGUGUUAUCCGGAAUCACUGGGCGUAAAGCGUCUGUAGGUUGUUCAAUAAGUCAACUGUUAAAUCUUGAGGCUCAACUUCAAAAAUCGCAGUCGAAACUAUUAAACUAGAGUAUAGUAGGGGUAAAGGGAAUUUCCAGUGGAGCGGUGAAAUGCGUAGAGAUUGGAAAGAACACCAAUGGCGAAAGCACUUUACUGGGCUAUUACUGACACUGAGAGACGAAAGCUAGGGUAGCAAAUGGGGUUAGAUACCCCAGUAGUCCUAGCCGUAGACGAUGGAUACUAGAUGUUGAACAGAUCGACCUGUGCAGUAUCAAAGCUAACGCGUUAAGUAUCCCGCCG
RNAcentral lists this ribosomal RNA (507 nucleotides) under uncultured cyanobacterium. Its description in RNAcentral is "bacterial SSU rRNA". It matches the Rfam family "Bacterial small subunit ribosomal RNA", at positions 355 to 873 of the family's 1533-position model. The record is from RNAcentral. Lineage: Bacteria; Bacillati; Cyanobacteriota.